UUCUUGGUCAUUUAGAGGAAGUAAAAGUCGUAACAAGGUUUCCGUAGGUGAACCUGCGGAAGGAUCAUUAAAGAAAUUUAAUAAUUUUGAAAAUGGAUCUUUUUGUUUUGGCAAGAGCAUGAGAGCUUUUACUGGGCAAGAAGACAAGAGAUGGAGAGUCCAGCCGGGCCUGCGCUUAAGUGCGCGGUCUUGCUAGGCUUGUAAGUUUCUUUCUUGCUAUUCCAAACGGUGAGAGAUUUCUGUGCUUUUGUUAUAGGACAAUUAAAACCGUUUCAAUACAACACACUGUGGAGUUUUCAUAUCUUUGCAACUUUUUCUUUGGGCAUUCGAGCAAUCGGGGCCCAGAGGUAACAAACACAAACAAUUUUAUCUAUUCAUUAAAUUUUUGUCAAAAACAAGAAUUUUCGUAACUGGAAAUUUUAAAAUAUUAAAAACUUUCAACAACGGAUCUCUUGGUUCUAGCAUCGAUGAAGAACGCAGCGAAAUGCGAUACGUAAUGUGAAUAGUAGAAUUCCGUGAAUCAUCGAAUCUUUGAACGCACAUUGCGCCCCUUGGUAUUCCAGGGGGCAUGCCUGUUUGAGCGUCAUUUCCUUCUCAAACAUUCUGUUUGGUAGUGAGUGAUACUCUUUGGAGUUAACUUGAAAUUGCUGGCCUUUUCAUUGGAUGUUUUUUUUCCAAAGAGAGGUUUCUCUGCGUGCUUGAGGUAUAAUGCAAGUACGGUCGUUUUAGGUUUUACCAACUGCGGCUAAUCUUUUUUUAUACUGAGCGUAUUGGGACGUUAUCGAUAAGAAGAGAGCGUCUAGGCGAACAAUGUUCUUAAAGUUUGACCUCAAAUCAGGUAGGAGUACCCGUUGAACUUAAGCAUAUCAAUAAGCGGAGGAA
RNAcentral lists this ribosomal RNA (882 nucleotides) under uncultured fungus. Its description in RNAcentral is "eukaryotic LSU rRNA". The stretch from base 433 to 586 matches the Rfam family "5.8S ribosomal RNA". Lineage: Eukaryota; Fungi. The record is from RNAcentral.